Zootermopsis nevadensis is the source of this 1642-nucleotide non-coding RNA. Lineage: Eukaryota; Metazoa; Arthropoda; Insecta; Blattodea; Termopsidae. The record is from RefSeq and is a predicted model, not a curated record.
UAACAAUAAGACUUCAUAUUACCCAGACAAUAAAUAUCAAAACAAUUUUGUUUACAAACAUACACAAAUCUAAAAACAAUUGAACAGCAAAAAUAUAUCAUUGUCACGGAAAGAAAUAUUUGUUUACGUAUUCUUGUACAGGAAUAUGAAAAACCGAUCACAACUGGAAACACUUCACACGUGCUACUGAUGUAUACGCGUAUUUAGGAAUAGUUAGGUUGUGGGGGAGGGGGGAGGUUUGCACAGGCGCAUUCCGACGUGAGAAAGGAGUGCAAGGCUGACGACGGGACGCUAGGCGUCGAGUAGAGUCAGUCUGUCGGUGUAACUAGACCCUGCCCGAACAGCACUGACUUAACGAAAAUUUGUCAUGUAAACAUCGUGAGUGUAAAGGAACAACUUCUGCGUGUUACUAGAAAGGACUCUUCAAGAUUUUGUGCACCAAUUUAUUAAGAAAACGCAUAGAACAGUGUGAACCAUGUCGUAAGCUUCUUCGAAUUGACAACUUGGUUUCACAGACGAUAUCCAAAAAAAAAAAAAAACGAAAGGUGACUUCUCACUGUACUGACAAUUUGUAACUUACGAACUUACCGACAACGAUCCAUGGACUUAAGUAGAGUCAAAACUGGAGUGACCUGUGGGUCACAGUACUAGCCCAGCACUCCACAGUUUUCAGGAUGUGUAUGGAGUAUACAACGCCUUGGUCUUUCGACGAUCACUUAUUGGCUUCCUAUUGGUUGAAAGCCCACGAAGUGCCUUUGAGGGCUAUUCGAUCCAUGUACUUCGAAUAUCUUCGUCCUGUGAACGCCUUGAACUACGAUACAAUUUCAACAUUUUCGAAAUUUAACCGAGUAAAACCUCGAACUACAUCAUAAUCUUAUUCUAAUUCAGGGCUUCCAGAUUUCUAAAGAAAUACGAAAGAGUUGAUCAUGAACAUUGGUUUUAGGAUACUUAAGCUGAAGAAUUUCCAAACGCGAUCCGUCUUCGACCUGGGAUGUGUCUUCAUCUAUGCUGACGUCAUCGUGGAAAUCCACACGCCCGUGGAUUGAGAAAGACGUAGAUUUCUUUAAGACCCCGAGUAAUUACGCGCCAUGUCAACUAUUUACGUUGAAAUUUUACAAAUCAUAUCACCUGGUCUUCAUACGACAUGACACUUACAGACACAUGAAGGAUGCAUUUAUUAUGUUGCACUAAUGGAGUACUAAUAAGAUAAAUGUCAAUGUUUUAGUUCUCUGAAUUUAUGUCUUUUUUAAUAUUAUACAUCUCUUACUUGGUAGACGUUGAAAGUCACUUAGGUAAGGGAAAGAAAAACACAGAGUGUCCCAAAAGUAUGUGCACACCUUUUAGUCGAUCUACGAGGGGGAGCUAGCGUGAAGAACACAUGUCUGGGUAAAUCUUUUCCCGACCGAUGGAUCGGACGUAGAUGAUCUUUGAGUACUCCGCACGUAAUGCGAUUUUAAGUGUGCACUUUCGUCCCGAGGAUGGAGGCGGCAAGGAAUAAAAGGUGUGUGCAUGUUUCCAACAUUUCAAACUUACUCUAAACGCGGCUUUGAGGACUUAUCGAGGUCAGAAUAGUUUAUCUAGAACAGAACAAAAACUCUCCGUAAUAAAGAUCAUAUAUUUAAUUGUUUAUUUUAACAGUCUA